This 253-nucleotide ribosomal RNA is filed under the name uncultured bacterium. Its description in RNAcentral is "partial 16S ribosomal RNA". It matches the Rfam family "Bacterial small subunit ribosomal RNA", at positions 524 to 776 of the family's 1533-position model. The record is from RNAcentral.
UACGUAGGGAGCGAGCGUUAUCCGGAAUUAUUGGGUGUAAAGGGUGCGUAGACGGGAAGACAAGUUGGUUGUGAAAUCCCUCGGCUUAACUGAGGAACUGCAACCAAAACUAUCAUUCUUGAGUACUGGAGAGGAAAGUGGAAUUCCUAGUGUAGCGGUGAAAUGCGUAGAUAUUAGGAGGAACACCAGUGGCGAAGGCGACUUUCUGGACAGAAACUGACGUUGAGGCACGAAAGUGUGGGGAGCAAACAGG